GAUGAACGCUGGCGGCGUGCCUAGUACGUGCAAGUCGAGCGAACAGACGAGGAGUUUGCGCGUCUGACGUUAGCGGCGGACGGGUGAGUAACACGUGGAUAACCUACCUAUAAGACUGGGAUAAUCUCGGGAAACCGGAUCUAAUCCCGGAUAAUAUAUUGAACCGCAUGGUUCAAUAGUGAAAGUCGGUUUUGCUGUCACUUAUAGAUGGAUCCGCGCCGCAUUAGCUAGUUGGUAAGGUAACGGCUUACGAGGGCGACGAUGCGUAGGCGACCUGAGAGGAUGGUCGCCCACACUGGAACUGAGACACGGUCCAGACUCCUGCGGGAGGCAGCAGAAGGGAAUCUUCCGCAAUAGUCGAGAGCCUGACGGAGCAACGCCGCGUGAGUGAUGAAGGUCUUCGGAGCGUAAAACUCUGUUAUUAGGUAAGAACAAAUGUGUAAGUAACUGUGCACGUAUUGACGGUACCUAAUCAGAAAGCAACGGCUAACUACGUG
Molecule: ribosomal RNA, 497 nt
Filed under: uncultured bacterium
Lineage: Bacteria
Description: partial 16S ribosomal RNA
Rfam family: Bacterial small subunit ribosomal RNA
Source: RNAcentral